CAAUAGCGUAUAUUUAAGUUGCUGCAGUUAAAAAGCUCGUAGUUGGAUUUCUGGUGGGAGCGAUCGGUCUGGCGCUUAGCGCGAGUACUUGCAUCGUCUCCGGCCAUCCUUGGGGAGAGUCUGUCUGGCAUUAAGUUGUCGGGCAGAGGAUCCUCAUCGUUUACUGUGAAAAAAUUAGAGUGUUCAAAGCAGGCUUAUGCCGUUGAAUAUAUUAGCAUGGAAUAAUAAGAUAGGACUUUGGUACUAUUUUGUUGGUUUGCGCACCAAAGUAGUGAUUAAUAGGGACAGUUGGGGGUAUUCGUAUUCCGUUGUCAGAGGUGAAAUUCUUGGAUUUACGGAAGACGAACUACUGCGAAAGCAUUUACCAAGGAUGUUUUCAUUAA
This 383-nucleotide ribosomal RNA is filed under the name uncultured eukaryote. RNAcentral's name for it is "partial 18S ribosomal RNA". It matches the Rfam family "Eukaryotic small subunit ribosomal RNA", at positions 592 to 976 of the family's 1831-position model. The record is from RNAcentral.